This 254-nucleotide ribosomal RNA is filed under the name uncultured bacterium. RNAcentral's name for it is "partial 16S ribosomal RNA". It matches the Rfam family "Bacterial small subunit ribosomal RNA", at positions 524 to 776 of the family's 1533-position model. The record is from RNAcentral.
UACGUAGGGUGCAAGCGUUGUCCGGAUUUAUUGGGCGUAAAGAGCUCGUAGGCGGUUUGAUAAGUCGGGUGUGAAAUCUCCAGGCUCAACCUGGAGCUGCCACUCGAUACUGUCAUGACUUGAAUUCGGUAGGGGACCACGGAAUUCCUGGUGUAGCGGUGAAAUGCGUAGAUAUCAGGAGGAAUACCUAUGGCGAAAGCAGGCUUCUGGGCUAUCACUGACGCUGAUCUGCGAAAGCUAGGGGAGCAAACAGG